CCUACGGGGGGCAGCAGUGGGGAAUAUUGCACAAUGGGCGAAAGCCUGAUGCAGCGACGCCGCGUGAGCGAAGAAGGCCUUCGGGUCGUAAAGCUCUGUUCUAUGGGAAGAAAAAUGACGGUACCAUAGGAGGAAGCCCCGGCUAACUACGUGCCAGCAGCCGCGGUAAUACGUAGGGGGCGAGCGUUGUCCGGAAUGACUGGGCGUAAAGGGCGCGCAGGCGGUCUUUUAAGUCUGAUGUGAAAUCUUGCGGCUCAACCGCAAGCGGUCAUUGGAAACUGGGAGACUUGAGUGCAGAAGAGGAGAGUGGAAUUCCCAGUGUAGCGGUGAAAUGCGUAGAUAUUGGGAGGAACACCAGUUGCGAAGGCGGCUCUCUGGACUGUAACUGACGCUGAGGCACGAAAGCGUGGGGAGCGAACAGGAUUAGAUACCCUAGUAGUC
RNAcentral lists this ribosomal RNA (441 nucleotides) under uncultured bacterium. Its description in RNAcentral is "bacterial SSU rRNA". It matches the Rfam family "Bacterial small subunit ribosomal RNA", at positions 338 to 795 of the family's 1533-position model. The record is from RNAcentral.